CAAUAGCGUAUAUUAAAGUUGUUGCAGUUAAAAAGCUCGUAGUUGGAUUUGUGGUGGUUCCUGUGGUCCGAUUUCGGUACUCUCGGGGACUGCCAUCUUUGGGUGGAUCCUGUGUGGCAUUAGGUUGUCGUGCAGGGGAUGCCCAUCGUUUACUGUGAAAAAAUUAGAGUGUUCAAAGCAGGCUUAUGCCGUUGAAUAUAUUAGCAUGGAAUAAUGAGAUAGGACCUUGGUACUAUUUUGUUGGUUUGCGCACCGAGGUAAUGAUUAAUAGGGACAGUUGUGGGUAUUCGUAUUCCAUUGUCAGAGGUGAAAUUCUUGGAUUUCUGGAAGACGAACUAAUGCGAAAGCAUUUACCAAGGAUGUUUNCAUUA
This 371-nucleotide ribosomal RNA is filed under the name uncultured eukaryote. RNAcentral's name for it is "partial 18S ribosomal RNA". It matches the Rfam family "Eukaryotic small subunit ribosomal RNA", at positions 592 to 975 of the family's 1831-position model. The record is from RNAcentral.